RNAcentral lists this ribosomal RNA (468 nucleotides) under uncultured bacterium. Its description in RNAcentral is "partial 16S ribosomal RNA". It matches the Rfam family "Bacterial small subunit ribosomal RNA", at positions 28 to 523 of the family's 1533-position model. The record is from RNAcentral.
GAUGAACGCUGGCGGCGUGCCUAACACAUGCAAGUCGAGCGAUCUUCUUCGGAGGAGAGCGGCGGACGGGUGAGUAACGCGUGGGUAACCUGCCCUGUACACACGGAUAACAUACCGAAAGGUAUGCUAAUACGAGAUAAUAUACUUUUAUCGCAUGGUAGAAGUAUCAAAGACACGGAGGUACAGGAUGGACCCGCGUCUGAUUAGCUAGUUGGUAAGGUAACGGCUUACCAAGGCGACGAUCAGUAGCCGACCUGAGAGGGUGAUCGGCCACAUUGGAACUGAGACACGGUCCAAACUCCUACGGGAGGCAGCAGUGGGGAAUAUUGCACAAUGGGCGAAAGCCUGAUGCAGCAACGCCGCGUGAGCGAUGAAGGCCUUCGGGUCGUAAAGCUCUGUCCUCAAGGAAGAUAAUGACGGUACUUGAGGAGGAAGCCCCGGCUAACUACGUGCCAGCAGCCGCCGUAA